AUGGCAGAUUUUACUGCUCUGUGGGGGAGCAAUUCUACCAGCCAACCUCCCACUGCCUUGUCUGAAUUUCCACAAGGCACAGCACUGGAAGGCAGUGGUGCAGGAGCCUCUGGCUACCUGAGCCAUCGGGCUCCAUCCUGCCCCAUCCAUCAUCCAUCAUCCAUCAUCCAUCCAUCCAUCCAUCCAUCAUCCAUCAUCCAUCAUCCAUCCAUCCAUCAUCCAUCCAUCAUCCAUCAUCCAUCAUCCAUCAUCCAUCAUCCAUCCAUCCAUCAUCCAUCCACCCUCUGGUGUUUGCUGUAAGGUUUAAUUCUGUCUGUGUCCAUAAAGCACACACUGCCUGUGUGAGGGGCAGAUUGAGCUGUGCUGUUCUGGCACCAUUUUAAAGCAUUUACCACAGUUCAGUUCUGUCUAAUACAACAAGGACAGAUUUUUUUAAACAUUUGUGGCACAGUAAUAGUUCCACUGAGUGUCCCCAACUUGCAGUGUAAUAAAUACAGGGUUUAUAUCA
RNAcentral lists this long non-coding RNA (508 nucleotides) under Parus major (Great Tit). RNAcentral's name for it is "lncRNA (ENSPMJG00000006084.1)". The record is from RNAcentral. Lineage: Eukaryota; Metazoa; Chordata; Aves; Passeriformes; Paridae.